AGCUCGUUUCGUGAGAGUGGUCGGUUAAGUCCGGCAACGAGCGCAACCUUUGUUCCUAGUUGCCAUCAGGUGAAGCUGGGCACUCUAGGAAGACCCGGCGAUAAGCUGGAGGAAGGUGGGGAUGACGUCAAGUCCUCAUGGCCUUUAUGGCCAGGGCUACACACGUACUACAAUGGCCGGUACAAAGGGCAGCGACAUUGUAAGAUGGAGCGAAUCCCGUAAAGCCGGUCUCAGUCCGGAUUGGAGUCUGCAACUCGACUCCAUGAAGUCGGAUCGCUAGUAUCGCGANUCAGCAAUGUCGCGGU
Molecule: ribosomal RNA, 305 nt
Filed under: uncultured bacterium
Lineage: Bacteria
Description: bacterial SSU rRNA
Rfam family: Bacterial small subunit ribosomal RNA
Source: RNAcentral